GACGAACGCUGGCGGCGUGCUUAACACAUGCAAGUCGAACGGAAAGGCCCUGCUUUUGUGGGGUGCUCGAGUGGCGAACGGGUGAGUAACACGUGAGUAACCUGCCCUUUACUUUGGGAUAACUUCAGGAAACUGGGGCUAAUACCGGAUAGGAGCUCCUGCUGCAUGGUGGGGGUUGGAAAGUUUCGGCGGUGGGGGAUGGACUCGCGGCUUAUCAGCUUGUUGGUGGGGUAGUGGCUUACCAAGGCUUUGACGGAUAGCCGGCCUGAGAGGGUGACCGGCGACAUUGGGACUGAGAUACGGCCCAGAGUCCUACGGGAGACAGCGGGGGAGAAUAUUGCACAAUGGGCGGAAGCGUGAUGCAGCAACGCCGCGUGCGGGAUGCCGGCCUUCGGGUUAUAAACCGCUUUCGCCUGUGACGAAGCGUGAGUGACGGUAAUGGGUGAAGAAGCACCGGCUAACUACGUG
This 468-nucleotide ribosomal RNA is filed under the name uncultured bacterium. RNAcentral describes it as "partial 16S ribosomal RNA". It matches the Rfam family "Bacterial small subunit ribosomal RNA", at positions 28 to 507 of the family's 1533-position model. The record is from RNAcentral.